GCUCUUAGAAAGGGCAAGAGCAGCCUGGAGGAAGCUGUGCUCCCAAUCCCACCGAGUACAGCAGUGAUGUUGUCACUGCUGGUUGUCAUUUGAAUGUCACUGUGCCACGGGAAGAGACACUCCACGGAAAGGAUCUGAAUUCUCCUGAGCAGCAGCACCUGAGACUUCACAUCACAUCUCGCUCCUCAUCCACCAAAGUGCUCCUGCAGGCAGCAAAUUGGCACUUUGCAAGCGAAUACAGAAGGUGAAAUGUGGAAGGUGUCAGCAAAAGGCACUUGAGUGAGCAAUUCAGAGCUGUGGGAUG
Molecule: long non-coding RNA, 304 nt
Organism: Pipra filicauda (Wire-tailed manakin)
Lineage: Eukaryota; Metazoa; Chordata; Aves; Passeriformes; Pipridae
Exons: 3
Source: RefSeq, a predicted model, not a curated record